Spinacia oleracea (spinach) is the source of this 920-nucleotide long non-coding RNA. RefSeq lists it as uncharacterized. The transcript is spliced from 4 exons. The record is from RefSeq and is a predicted model, not a curated record. Lineage: Eukaryota; Viridiplantae; Streptophyta; Magnoliopsida; Caryophyllales; Amaranthaceae.
CAAGGAUUCGCUUUGGUGAGACUUGAGAUCAUGUCUACAGUCACUUUAUGGUUUAGAUGGUUCCUUUUUUUAAACCUUCUGUUGGCCAAAGUUGCACCGACUUUCAGAGAAAUCAGGUUUUGUUUUGAGAGGAACCAAUGGAACGACCUUUCUGGUAUAGGCACCUCUGGUUGUGAUUGAAAUCUCUACAUCCCAUUCAUGAGAACCUCAAACCUGUCUGGGGCAAGAGCAAACUCACAUUGUCACUAAAAUGAAUUCACACCACUCUCUCUUUUGCUGCCAUAUCCAUCUGUUUGUCCGGCCCCACAUUCAGUGAUCAACUUUACAAGCACCCGCUCACUUCCAGCUCUAGUAUCAAAAUACAACCCAUCACCAAACGUCCUUCAAUUCAAAGCCUUAGCUGAACAUGGAAAUAAAACUGAAGCCUUAAGCAUAAAGAUUUUACAGAAGAAGAAGAGCAGCUCAUUAUUCAGUACCAUGCAGCUAUAGGCAGCAGAUUGGAGGUCACCAUACCCAAGAAGAUUUUUCAGUGAGAGGCAAGGAACCCAAGGACGAGGUUCAAAUUUAUACCUGGAUGGAUGCUACACUUAGAGAAAUGACUCAUCUCGCGAAGAGAAGUAUCUCCAGCUGCCAGAAGACGAGAUGCAAAAUUGUCAUUUGCAGUUGUAUAUCCUGAUAAAAAUGGUCGUAUGCAAGUAAAGAAGGUAUAUACUCCGAGGAAUGCGCCUUAUGCUAGUGAGGAAAUUGAUGUGGUUCGUGAGCAAUGGGCUAAGUGUUUUACCAGCAAGUAUUUGUUAUUGGCGUGAGCGCUUGAUCGAGUUGGUUUAGAUGUUAUAGAACAAUCUUUUAUAUUAAAAUGUAUGCGUUCGUUGGAAUUGGACGUACAUAUAUUUAAAUGUAUGUGGUACGUGCACUUUGGU